Non-coding RNA from Notechis scutatus (mainland tiger snake), 5162 nucleotides. The record is from RefSeq and is a predicted model, not a curated record. Lineage: Eukaryota; Metazoa; Chordata; Lepidosauria; Squamata; Elapidae.
AAUUCUGGGAGUUGAAGUCCACAAGUCUUAAAGUGGCCAAGUUUGGAGACCUCUGCUCUACUUCAUCCAUCAUGCUCAACACUCUUGCUGGGGUGGAACCUUCCUGACUCGUAGAAAGCCUUCUCCUCAGAGCUCCAGUAACCGAUGAUGGAGACCUUGAAUUUGUUCUGCAGCCACUUUCACUGGACCAGCGCAUUUCCCAGUCUAAAACUCUUUGGGUAAACAUGUAUCCUUAAGCCAGUUAAUCCCACAGGGAACUUUGUGGAAAAGACCCUGUUUUUACCUUGAUCAAAGAUGAAUGGAGCAUCUCAACAUCAUGUCAAAUGUGCAUGUACCAGGAAAAGAAAUGAUAACCAAAUGGAAGAUUAUUUAUUUUGUUUUGUUUGUCCUCCAAAGAAGCUGAGAGGACUGUUUCUGGAGUAAUUCUCAAUUUGAAACCUAAGUCUUCUCUUACAAUGUGCAUUUUAAGUUCUUUUUAUCCGAAUUUAAUUCCUAUCCUAAGCCAUGUUCUCGGCAAACGUUGGCUAGGAUUUAGGUUAUAGUCUUACCUGAGAGUAUAAGAGACAAUUGAGUAGGCUACAGACCAUUUCUGUUAUUUUCUUUUCUUUGUACAACCCCGGGAAGCCUGAUAGUUUAAAAGAGUUUUCGCUGGCUUUUUAAAGGGGAGUCUUUGUAAUUUUCCUAAAGCUUUCCAUCAUUUGCUCUCCAUUUUUUGCAAAACCAGUUUUUUUUCUUUCUCCUUAUGAGACAGGUGAGAUCGUCCAAACAAUUGUUAAGGGAAAAUUCCCAUUUCCUUGGCUUUGAAUUCCACUUUCUCCAGGACUUAAUUUUCUAGCUUUCUACUUUCAAAGCCACAUGUUUUUUCCCCCCUCCUUUUGCCAAUGAACCCCUGAAUCUGAAAAAGUGCUUUAGCUACGCCCAGCAGUCACGCCUUCCAGCUCUGCAGAAUGAAGGCAAAGCUGCCUUCCUUUUAUUGAAUCCUUUGAGGAACAACGCACUUUUUCUGAGCCUUUGUAAACCACGAGAUAAGCCUUGUUCCACUUUCUCCACCUCCUCCUCUCCUUUGCCCCCCAUCAGGUGCCCCUUGUCCCUAUGUUCAUUCAUUUGUUCUGUCCUGGUGGGAGGGCAGGGGAGAUGCGCGUAAGGGGGCACAUGGACCAGCUUCUCUCAAAUUCAUACCCUCCAUCCACUUGGGCUAGAUUUCAAAUGUCAUAAUCUGCAGCCCACCUGGCUCACCCCACCUAGGGUGCACCUGUUGGGGAGUGGCUGUUCAAUACGCAGGUGAGCUAAAUUCACAACUUUGAGUGCAGUUACAUCUCUUGGAGGUUCAGAGUCGAUCCUCGUUUUCGCGUUGCACAGAUGACCAAUGAAAUCCUUCACUCCUAGUGAUGCCUUUUUUUUUGUCGUUCAAUCACCUGCCAUUCUAACUACAGUCGUGGGACUCCACGUGGUAUGGAUCUUCCUUCUGCAAACAUCUCUCCUUUGACUAUGUUUGAAAGUGGAAAUCUGGUUCUCUAAAAAAGACAAUCGACUGUUUAAAUCCUUGCUGGGACAAUCUCCGCGUCCAGCCAGAAGAACCGAGAACGUGAUCCGUUCUCGAACUGACUCGUGCUGGGGAAAUUCAGUUUGCUGGCCACAGGUUGACUUUUCAGCUGUGAAGAACUGCUGCCAUGUGCCUUUACUGGGGGGGGGGGGGGGGGGGGAAUGAUGUUGCGUAUUUGCUGAGCUGAUGAGGCCAGAUACUCACAUUUUUACCUCCUGAAAAUAGAUCAAAGAUCCCGUUUAUAUUUUCCUUGAGAUUUGAACCUGUUCGCAGCGGGGAUCAUAUUCACUUGAUGUCUCCUUUUUUGAAAGGGGGGGGGGGGGGAAUGCACUUUUUACCACUCUCCCAUGCUGUGUUGCUGCAUUUAUUUGGUAGGGAAGUGGGCAUGACCUGAAUCAUGGAGAAUAACACACUCCAAUCUUGUUGAGACUCUGUAUACAGGACUGCCAACCGCCUGCACAGCUCUUAACCUUUUGGACAAGUGACGUUGAGGUCCGGAUUCCUUGCCUACCUUCUCUGGCCGGCUGGGUGACCUUGCACUUUUGGAAACGGUCAGAUUUCCUAGGAGAAUAAAAGGCUUCUUUCAGUCCACGAGUAUUACAGGAAAGAGCAAAAACGGCUGGAAAGGGCAGAGAUCAUUUAAAUGCUAAGACGAAAUGUCUCCCCAAUCAGUUGUUUUCCCCGGCCUUUCUGGCUUUCUGGUCUGGGGGGUGGGAGAGAGGAAAUGGCUCUGUGCAAGCAACAGGAGCGCACACCCGCAGCUCCGUUUUUGGAGCUUCACACAAAUGGAGCUUGACGCACCGUUUGCACAAGUGGAGCUGCGUGCGUGAAUUGCGUGCCUGACACUUGCACAGCCCGGUUCCGAAUGGGCCGUGGCCUGGGGGGCUUGGGGACCCCUGUAAUUCAGUCUUCCCAGGAUCUUCAUGCUGGGUUCUGCGUCUUUUCAUGCGUUCUGUUUAAACAGACUCAUCUGAGCUCACGCAGAAACCUUUUCCCACAAGGUGUUAUGGUUCAUCCUUCUAGGAAAUGGAUGCUGGGUCUGAUUUGGGGGUGGAUUAAAGCAUCUCACCUGGCAUUACCUGCUGACACAUUCCUGGACUGUAAAAACAGGAGGUUGGCUGUAGGUUGGGCCAACACCACGAUGGGGCUCCCAACACCUCUUCCCUCCUUGUGCACCUACCUCAUGUCUUAAGCAGGUGCUGGAGUGUUGUUAUUUCCCCCCCCUCUGGUUGUAGUUUGCUUUAUUUUUAAAUACAGUUUUUGCUGCAUAACUUAUAUUAUCAGUUAGAGCUUUCAGAAAGAAAUGGGAUGGUUCAAACAUUUGGAUAUCUUUUGGAAGAGGGAGAGUUACUUCUCAAAAGCAUGGAUGCAGACUUUGGUACCUCUGCUUCUGAAAACGGAAGGCUGAAUGAGCACUGCUGUGCUUUCUUUUGUCUUCCAUUAAGUUGAAUAUUAUCUGUUGUGGUUUGAGGGGGCUCCUAACACAUUGAGAAGACCCACUCUUAAGAAACUAUAGCUCCUACGAACAUCCCCCAUGCCUAAAAGGUGUAAUUUUAGGCCAGACUGUUCAUUGUGGAAAAAAUUAGGAAAUGCAAAGAGGUCGUCUGUUUAAGAUGACAUCAUGUGAUGAGUCAGAACAUCACUUCUUUCCAACCUGGUGUUUUCCAGGUGUAUUGGUCUUUUGGCUAGGCUAGGAGAUUGGGAGUAGGAAUAUCCAAUGCAUCUGGAAGGGAUUUAUUUGAGGAAAUCACCUGUGAUCUGUGUUCAGUUGGGGACAAAUGCCCGUUUUGAAUUUUCUGUAGUCCCUCUGUUGCAUUUUCAUCAGGGAACUAUAGAAAUUUGGCCUCCUCAUAUGGUUCUUGAACACAGUGGGAAUGUUUUCAUUUUACAUUGGUGACAAAUAGAACUCCAGAACUAAUUCUGGUGUUUACAUCACUGUUACAAUCAGUUAAUUCAGUUGCUACUAGUUUUAGUUGGGUGUUCAUUGCCGAAAUCACACCCUGAGGAAGAUACUUUUGAAUGGGCUGGUGUUAUUAAUAUUAUUAUUAUUGUAGUAGUAGUAAUAGUUUAAAAGUUCUACAAAGGUUCACAUCGGACAGAUGGUACUUGAAUAGCAGUUCAGUUUUCUCACCCACGGUGGCUUUAAGGUUUAAUUGGUUUAACAAUUUUAAAGGUGCUAAGGUUGAGAAAUGCGGCUGUAGAAUACAGAAUCCCAAACUCUGCAGUUUUCCAGCUUACCUAAUUAGUCCUUUGGGUGCAGGUAUUUCUCUGUUCAUAUCAGUGUGUGUGAGAAACACAACACCUUAACAGAUUUCUUGUAUUUAUUUGGCAUUUUUAAAACAUUCCCUUCCUAUCUGACCCCUGUCUCUGUCUUAAUCUUGUUGGUGAUGGAAAGAGGUAGGCUUAACUUAAACAACAACAACCCAAACUCUAUACUUCCAACCGCAGGAGAAUAUGAGCCAAAUAAUGUAAUGUUGAAAUACGCAAUGAUCUCCUGUAUUGAUAUAGUAAUCACUUGGGCUUGAGUUUGUAUGCAUGUGUGGGCUAUUAUGUCUUAUUGUUUAUUUUGUGAGAUUUGAAUUCAUGCCGUUGCUGUAUAAUAACGAUGAACAAGGGUGGGGGUGUCAUCUAAAUUGGGGGGGAUAUUCUGCUAACUGUUCCUGAAAUGUAGAGUUCCAAGAGGAGUCUUGAAAGACUCGUGCAAGUCCUAUCGCUCUUGAUGGAGAUGCACGGACUGAAGGUGGGGAAAAUCUGUCGUGUGUUCAGCUUUUUGGUCAGGUGCAAUAUUAAAACAUGUGAACACGUUUAACCUGCUGGUCUUUUUUAAAACAGUGGCCUCUGAAGGUUGUGGGGAUAGGCUGUGCUUUGAGAAUGCAAGAGAAGUAGAGAUGCAAGCACACGUACCACACUACAUUGCCUCCACGCACACAAACCACCGUUCCUGUUGGAGACCCCUGUUUUGGAGGAAUCUUCCCUUUGCAUCAAUGAGACCAGAGAAGCAACUGUGUUGUGGGAAUGGAUUGAAUAUUGAUUCUCAAGGCAAGAUGGGCAGCUUUCUCCUCCUUGCACACCACAACUCUUUUUAAAUUUUUGCCUACCCAUCGGUUCUUCUAAGAGGAGCUGGCUUGUAGAGCCAACCAGCUUGGCCUUGAGCCAUGCGGGAAGGCAGGGGGCAUGGCCUCUUCCUUUUUUGUGUGGCCCCCGUUAGAACAGGCUCUCCAAACUUGGCAACUUGUGGGCUUCAACUCCUAGAAUGCUUCAGCCAGUCCACAAGCCUUUAAAAACCACCAAGUUUGGAGAGGCUGCCCUAGAAGAACCCAGGUGUGAUUUGCAAAGGUCUUCCUCUAACCUUUCAUAGGAACCAGAAGGGUCUUUUGGGAAAGCCCGGUUGGAUUUGAAGGGUGGGGAAUGACUUUUGGCCUGAAAGUCCAUCGUGUCCAACGAUGGUGGGGAGGCUUUCGAAAGAAUCCUACUUCCCAAGGACCAAGGAGGGUCAGCAAACGUUGGGAUGACAAUCAGUGCGCCAUAGCCAGGAACUCUUUUCCUUUUGCGAUGUAAGCAUUUUGUAUUCUCUGAAGCGAUCAAAUGAAAUAAAAGUUGAAGACGUUGACAAAAGCUC